This 341-nucleotide ribosomal RNA is filed under the name uncultured Anaerolineaceae bacterium. RNAcentral's name for it is "bacterial SSU rRNA". It matches the Rfam family "Bacterial small subunit ribosomal RNA", at positions 1031 to 1382 of the family's 1533-position model. The record is from RNAcentral. Lineage: Bacteria; Bacillati; Chloroflexota; Anaerolineae; Anaerolineales; Anaerolineaceae.
AUUACAGGUGUUGCAUGGCUGUCGUCAGCUCGUGUCGUGAGAUGUUCGGUUAAGUCCGCUAACGAGCGCAACCCUCGCUGUGUGUUAUAUGUGUCACACAGGACUGGACUGGGUAUUAAAGCCGGAGGAAGGUGGGGACGACGUCAAGUCAGCAUGACCUUUAUAUCCAGGGCUACACACACGCUACAAUGGUCAGUACAAUGGGUAGCCAAGCCGCGAGGCGGAGCCAAUCCUGAAAGCAGGCCUCAGUUCAGAUUGCAGUCUGCAACUCGACUGCAUGAAGCCGGAGUUGCUAGUAACCGCAGGUCAGCAAUACUGCGGUGAAUACGUUCCCGGGUCUU